Molecule: long non-coding RNA, 367 nt
Organism: Colossoma macropomum (tambaqui)
Lineage: Eukaryota; Metazoa; Chordata; Actinopteri; Characiformes; Serrasalmidae
Exons: 3
Source: RefSeq, a predicted model, not a curated record
GUGUUUCUUACUGCUUGUGAGGAAGCUGCUACUGUUAAUGAAAGAGCUGCUAUGCAAAUGCUAGUCUGCAGUGUCUCUCCAGUGCAGAGUCUUUCUGCACACAGCUCUCGAGCCAACUGAGUGGAGCCUGGACGUCUGAACCACCAGCAAACUUGAUCAGGCAUUUCACUGAGUUGUGGACGCUGAGGGAGAGCUCUGACCAGAGCACGAACGCUUUGCUGCUGAGGAAGUUCAUCAAAGCAGCUGCUGUCACCAACCCAGACUUCAGAGCAGACGUUCAGAAUGUAGGAAACCCUUAAAAACGCACAUGCACAGACAAUUCUUAGUGUAUUAGUAUAUCUGGUGAUGCUCGCAUGAUGCGACAAUG